AAAGAGGAGUGGCGAACGGGUGAGUAACACGUGGGUAACCUGCCCAUCAGAAGGGGAUAACACUUGGAAACAGGUGCUAAUACCGUAUAACAAUCGAAACCGCAUGGUUUUGAUUUGAAAGGCGCUUUCGGGUGUCGCUGAUGGAUGGACCCGCGGUGCAUUAGCUAGUUGGUGAGGUAACGGCUCACCAAGGCCACGAUGCAUAGCCGACCUGAGAGGGUGAUCGGCCACAUUGGGAUUGAGACACGGCCCAAACUCCUACGGGAGGCAGCAGUAGGGAAUCUUCGGCAAUGGACGAAAGUCUGACCGAGCAACGCCGCGUGAGUGAAGAAGGUUUUCGGAUCGUAAAACUCUGUUGUUAGAGAAGAACAAGGAUGAGAGUAACUGUUCAUCCCUUGACGGUAUCUAACCAGAAAGCCACGGCUAACUACGUGCCAGCAGCCGCGGUAAUACGUAGGUGGCAAGCGUUGUCCGGAUUUAUUGGGCGUAAAGCGAGCGCAGGCGGUUUCUUAAGUCUGAUGUGAAAGCCCCCGGCUCAACCGGGGAGGGUCAUUGGAAACUGGGAGACUUGAGUGCAGAAGAGGAGAGUGGAAUUCCAUGUGUAGCGGUGAAAUGCGUAGAUAUAUGGAGGAACACCAGUGGCGAGGGCGGCUCCCUGGUUUCUGUAACUGACGCUGAGG
This 680-nucleotide ribosomal RNA is filed under the name uncultured Bacilli bacterium. RNAcentral's name for it is "bacterial SSU rRNA". It matches the Rfam family "Bacterial small subunit ribosomal RNA", at positions 87 to 751 of the family's 1533-position model. The record is from RNAcentral. Lineage: Bacteria; Bacillati; Bacillota; Bacilli.